Non-coding RNA from Stegodyphus mimosarum, 71 nucleotides. Lineage: Eukaryota; Metazoa; Arthropoda; Arachnida; Araneae; Eresidae. The record is from Rfam.
GGCUUCGUGGUGUAAUGGUAGUACACUCGGCGCAUAUUCGAGAGGUCUAGGUUCGAGUCCUGGCGAGGGCA